RNAcentral lists this small RNA (2183 nucleotides) under Arabidopsis thaliana (thale cress). Its description in RNAcentral is "ATSL162600". The record is from RNAcentral. Lineage: Eukaryota; Viridiplantae; Streptophyta; Magnoliopsida; Brassicales; Brassicaceae.
AAUAUGUUUUUAGUCAAUUAUCCUUAAACACCAAUCAUGUCUUUGUAGUAUUUUAGGUGUCAAUCCAAAUGGGUGUGAUGCAAACAGAUGAGAUGUGAUCAGAAGUCACUAAGUCAAGCCAAGCAAUAACAGUAUUGGGGUUUCUUACAGUCCUAAGUGAACAUGCAGAAAACAGAAACAAUAAUAGAAUUACUAAAAUCACCCGACCACAACAGGCUGAUGCAAGAAGUAGGAUGUGAUCGAGUAAGAGGCAGGAUAUGAAACAAAUAUACUCGAUUGCACAGUCUAUUGCCAGACACUGGGUCUGGUCGAGUAUACAUGUCGAGUAACAGACAGGAAAUGAGACAGCUGUACUCGAUUGCACAGUCUGUUGCCAGACACUGGGUGUGGUCAAGUAAGUUGGUCGAGUAAUUGCAAAAACUAAGAAACAGGCAAUGAAAACGAUUAAGUGAUAACAAUAAAACGGAGAAAUCAGAUAGACGAGAAAUUCCUAAGGAUGGGGUAAUCAAGUAGAGUUGUAUCCUAGCCUAUUCGAAUGGUUAACAAGCGCAAUCAAGCUAUCCCUAGACUGAUCAAUUAACUCCCGUGAUAGAAAUCCUCAAGCAAAGCUAGCCCAGACUAAUUUCUAUUAACGGAAUCUAACUAUGCAGGCAAUAAGAACAGACUGAUAAAGUCAAUAAACGCUCUAAUCGGCCAAUCCCUUGGGAUAGAGACGAAUAUCUCAGGAACUAGUCGAUCGAACAUUCCAUCGAACACCUUCUGGGUGCGGGAAUGCUUUGCUUGAAUUCCAGUUGAUCAGAAAGAAAUAAGCAGUAAACGCAACUAGUCCUGAAGGGAUUCAAUCAAUUCUAAAAUUUAACCAUUCUACAGACUACGGAUUCCACAAAUACUCUAUCCCAUCCCUAAGAAUUCUAAGUCACUACUCAGACAACAUGCUCAAAGACAUAAACGCAGAUAAAUGAUAAUAUUGCAUAAGUAAAGAGAUAAAGAGUAGAGAAACAAGAUGACAGAUGAAAUCAAAUGCGGAAUCUGAAUAACUUGGAAAAAUCUCGAAUUACUGGUUGCAGAAGCAAAAGCGGCACAGCAGAGUAAAACAGAAAAUAAAACUGAAGCAAAAACUCAAUGUCGACUAGAUGUCUCAGGACAGAACCCUAAGACAUCUAUUUAUACAAAACGAAAUAAAAUGAUAGUAGACGGGCCAAUAACCUAAUCGCCCGGCCCAUAGAAUGAUAAUGGGCCGAGAUGGGCUUCGUGAUCCGAUGGAGGUCUAGGCCGCUUCUAAACACUUUGUCUUCUCCUCUUCUCUUCCUUGUGCUCAGCUUGUCUGGUUGAGUGCGGAUUUGAUUAGACUAUAAAGACGUGAUCGAGUGUCCGGUCGAGUGAUGGUGAUGGUGGUGAGUGAUGAUACUCGACCAGGGGGUCGAGUAACUUGGUAGAGUGAAUGGCUGAGUGUGGUCAGGUUGUGUGGCGAAGUGAUAUUCGACCAGGGGGUCGAGUGGCGUCAUCGAGUGGCCUGAGCUGAGGAUACUCGACCAGGGGGUUGAGUAGGUGGGAAGAAUAGCUCCAAAGUUACUCGACUUGGGGGUAGAGUAUAGUGCUGGAUGCACACGACCUGGUGGUCGAGUAUGUCUUCUGGUUCUGGCUCGUUUCUUCAAAUUUGCUCGCAAACAGCUCCAAAUCAUCUGAAAACAACUCAGAAAUGCAAUAUGUAUGCAAAGCUAUCCUAAUCAUGCAAAGUAUGCAAGAAUGAUGAGAAAUGAUAUAAAACAGUGAUGAAUGAUACAAAACUGGACUCAAAACGAUGAUGAAUGGACACUGAAAACAUGCAAAUUAUAGACAUAUCAACUCCCCCAAACUUAGUCUUUGCUUGCCCUCAAGCUAAUAAGAAGACAUAGUUGAAGGAGAGGUUUGAAGGCGGGGACUCAGAACCAAAGCAUAUGAUAGAGCGAAUAAAAUCAAUGUCCAAGUUGGUAGUUCUAAGAUGCGAUAUGAUUGAAUUUUACUCAAAAACGUUAGCCAUGCCUUGUUAUCAAUCAAUCCGUCUCUUAUACUCGACCUACACAUGUUUUCAAAUCUACCAAUCCCUUUAACAUUCAUUAGUUCUGGAACGUGAAUCAAGCAAUGCAUCAUCAAUGAACUCAUUUGGCUAAGGUGAAGGUCAGGAGACAAAGAUGGUCCCUCAC